This 396-nucleotide ribosomal RNA is filed under the name uncultured bacterium. RNAcentral describes it as "bacterial SSU rRNA". It matches the Rfam family "Bacterial small subunit ribosomal RNA", at positions 357 to 772 of the family's 1533-position model. The record is from RNAcentral.
AGGAAUCUUCCACAAUGGGCGAAAGCCUGAUGGAGCGACACCGCGUGAAGGAUGAAGGCCUUAGGGUUGUAAACUUCUAAAAAAGGGACGAUAAUGACGGUACCUUUUGAAAAGCACCGGCUAACUCCGUGCCAGCAGCCGCGGUAAUACGGAGGGUGCGAGCGUUAUCCGGAAUCACUGGGCGUAAAGGGCGCGUAGGCGGUCUGUUAAGUCUGGCGUUGAAGCCUGGGGCUCAACCCCAGAUCAGCGUUGGAUACUGGCAGGCUAGACGGUUGGAGAGGCGAGUGGAAUUACCAGUGUAGCGGUGGAAUGCGUAGAUACUGGUAGGAACACACAUUGCGAAGGCAGCUCGCUGGACAACACGUGACGCUGAGGCGCGAAAGUGUGGGGAGCAAA